GCAUCUGUGCAUGCAGCAUAUCAAUAAGCGGAGGAAAAGAAACUAACAAGGAUUCCCCUAGUAACGGCGAGUGAAGCGGGAAGAGCUCAAAUUUGAAAUCUUAAAGGGUUUCCCUUUACGAAUUGUAGUUUAAAGAAGUGUUUUCUGUUGAGGUUUUGGUAAAAGUUCUUUGGAAUAGGACAUCAUAGAGGGUGAGAAUCCCGUAUUUGACCUUUACUUUCAACUUUGUGAUACACUUUCAAAGAGUCGGAUUGUUUGGGAAUGCAGUCCAAAAUGGGUGGUAAAUUUCAUCUAAAGCUAAAUAUUGGCGAGAGACCGAUAGCGAACAAGUACCGUGAGAGAAAGAUGAAAAGAACUUCGAAAAGAGAGUUAAACAGUACGUGAAAUUGUCAAAAGGGAAGCGUUUGACACCAGUGUUGUUUUCCUGAAAAUCAAUUAAAGAACUGUUUAUGCUAAGUUGUUUAGACUUUAUCAGCUAUCUGUUUAGUUUUGAGCUUUUCUUUAAUGCACUCUUCAGUUAACAAGUCAACAUCAAUUUCUUUGCUGUAAAUAAGCUUGAGGAAGGUGGCUUGAGAUUCGUCUUAAGUGUCUAUAGCCUCUUGCCUAUGCAGUCGGAGAGAUUGAGGUCUGCAGCGUAGAUCCUUCGGGGCUAAAUGCAUUUGUGCUAAGUUAUAGCAUUUUAUAGACAAUUUGUUGACUAUGAUUUGUCUUGUAGCUUACUCGCUUAUGUUAUUUUACCUACGCUUAGGAUGUUGAGUCGUAGAGCACGCAG
RNAcentral lists this ribosomal RNA (772 nucleotides) under uncultured Neocallimastigales. RNAcentral's name for it is "partial large subunit ribosomal RNA". It matches the Rfam family "Eukaryotic large subunit ribosomal RNA", at positions 24 to 628 of the family's 3401-position model. The record is from RNAcentral. Lineage: Eukaryota; Fungi; Neocallimastigomycota; Neocallimastigomycetes; Neocallimastigales.